AUUGAACGCUGGCGGAAUGCUUUACACAUGCAAGUCGAACGGCAGCACGGGUGCUUGCACCUGGUGGCGAGUGGCGAACGGGUGAGUAAUACAUCGGAACGUACCCAGUCGUGGGGGAUAACGUAGCGAAAGUUACGCUAAUACCGCAUACGUUCUGAGGGAGAAAGCGGGGGACCGUAAGGCCGUGCGCGAUUGGAGCGGCCGAUGGCGUAUUAGCUAGUUGGUGGGGUAACGACCUACCAAGGCGACGAUCCGUAGCGGGUCUGAGAGGACGGCCCGCCACACUGGAACUGAGACACGGUCCAGACUCCUACGGGAGGCAGCAGUGGGGAAUUUUGGACAAUGGGCGAAAGCCUGAUCCAGCCAUUCCGCGUGAGUUAAGAAGGCCUUCGGGUUGUAAAGCUCUUUCGGCAGGGAAGAAACGGCUUGGGAUAAUACCCCGGGCUAAUGACGGUACCUGAAGAAGAAGCACCGGCUAACUACGUGCCAGCCGCCGCAGUAA
Molecule: ribosomal RNA, 502 nt
Filed under: uncultured bacterium
Lineage: Bacteria
Description: partial 16S ribosomal RNA
Rfam family: Bacterial small subunit ribosomal RNA
Source: RNAcentral